RNAcentral lists this long non-coding RNA (2932 nucleotides) under Equus asinus (donkey). RNAcentral describes it as "lncRNA (ENSEASG00005025901.1)". The record is from RNAcentral. Lineage: Eukaryota; Metazoa; Chordata; Mammalia; Perissodactyla; Equidae.
GUGUUACCCACCAUAAACCUUUUGCACACUCCUGACUGUUUCAGCAUCGGCUUCCUGGAAUCUUGGGAGACCCAACUCACACAAUCAUAGUUUAACAGAAUCAUCACUUUACACAUCAACCCAGGUCUGAGAAUUUGAACCCAUCUCGCUCCUCUGUUGUCAUGACGUCCACCUGCAAUACUGACCUCUUCAAUGUCUUCUGGGCCCUUUCCCCACCAUCACUGCCCUUGUUUGGGCAUAUGGUCCCCUUCAAGGACCAAUGCUUCACUCAGCAAGUGCCUUUCCUCACUCCCAGAUGGCCCCAUCCAAUCCACCCUCCACAGGCUUCUAAAGCUCUUUGGUCUGUUGUUCAAUUGUCCUUGAUGGCGUCUGUCUUCAGUUAUGAUUAAGUUUGGCUGCUUAUUACAGAAAACCCCAAAUAAUAGCAGCUUAGACAUGAUAAAAUUUCAUUUCUCUCACUUUCAAGAAGUCUGGAAGUGGCCAUUCCAGGGCUACUGCCAUGCUCUAUGGUUUCAGAGACCCAGGUUCCUUCUGUGUUAUUGCUCUGCCAUGUGUAGCUUUCAUUUAUCCCCAAGGUCACCUCAUUAUCCAAUAUGGCUGCUCAAGUGCCAGCCACAUAUCUACAUUCUAGCUAGCAGGAAGGAAGAAGGGAUAAAGGUCACAAUUUCAUCCUCUAAAGACCCUUUCUAGAAAUUGCACAUGCAACUUCCACUUAUAUCUCAUAGGCCAGAAUUUAGUCUGUUGUCUCACAUAGCUGCAAGGGAGGCUGGGGCAUAUAUAUCUUAUGUUGAGUAAAGUACACAUAUUUAAGUGUGCAUCUCGAUAAAUGUGUACAUAUGUCUAUACCUGAGUCAGCACAACCAGGACCAAGACAGCGAGAGCCUUUCAGUGCCUCAGCAGACUCCCUUGUGUGGCUCCCAGUUUUGAGACCUCCCCUGGGUCACCACUAUCCUGACCUCCUGCUGUAGAUGACUUUCACCUGUUUUGGACCUUUGAAUACAUCGAAACAUUCAGUGUGGAAUUUUUGUAUCUGUCUGCUUUCACUCAGCCUUACGUCUAUGAGAUUCAUCCAUGUUGUUGCAUGAGGCAAUAAUUUGAUCUUUUUUCAUGCUCUGUAGUAUUCCACCACAAUUUAUUUACCCAUUCUCUUGUUGAUGGACAUUUGGGCUGUUUCCAGUUUUUGGCUAUUUUUAAUCAAGCUUCUGUGAACAUUUGAGUACAUGUCUUUUGGUGGACAUGUGUUUUUAAUUCUCUUGGGUAUUUAUCCAGGAGCAGAAUUGCUGAAGGAUGUGAAACCAUUAUUCAGAUGGCCACGUAUUCAGCUGAAAUCCUCAGCAUUCUGUUAUUAUGGAAGAAGGGGAGAAGGAACAUUGGGAGCAAACCAGUAAUUCCAUGGUGCCGCACUGUCUACACACGGAAACCAAGCCACCCUGGUGUUCAGACACACAGCUCUCUACCAAUAGCUCCGCACCUGCCUCUCCAGCCUUAGCUUUCACUCUGCUCUGCCCUGCCCUCUCCCCGUUGUGUCAGAUACUUUCCUGCCUGUGGGUCUUUCUCACACUCCUCCACCGGCCUGGGAUGCAUCCUCCUCCUCUCUUCCCUCACCCUGCAGCCCUGCCCCUGCUCACCUGAAUCCCGCUCAGCCUCGAAGUGCAGCACAGGUGUUACCACCUACAGGCAGCCUCCCCCGUGCCCCAGGGUGGGACCGAUUUCUUUAUACCGUCUGCUUCUGUGGCGUGUUCUACCUUGGCAAAUCCAUGGAGCACAUUUGCCUUGUUGUAAUCAUCUCAUGCAUCCCAGAAUUUGGAAUGGGCAGGAUCCCGGAGGUCCUGAAAGCCCACAGGAGCUUGUCUAAUUACUCCCAAGAUGGCUGACCUUGCAUUUCAUUGAGCUCUCCGGGUCUUUAUCUUCCCUUGUCAGUGCUCUCCUUUCUCUCUACUUCCCUCCUGAUCCAUUGUUUCAAUAAAUAAGAACUAACGCCCUUGCACCUUUAUCUUUCAAAGCAUGCAUCCGGCACACUCUCCAUGGUGGACGAAUCCAGCCAUCUGCUUUCUCCCCGCUGGCCCACGGAGCUGAACGUUACCAGGCAGAUUGGAUCCACCCCGUCUCAGAUGGCCCCAAUCUCAGCACUGCCCAGAAUGUCUGCCUCUGGUCUGCAAAAUUUGACAAAUGCAUACAGUCAUGCACAUACCACCACAAUCAAGAUACAGAAGAGUUCCAUCACCCAACUUCCUGGGCCCCUUUGUGGUUAGCCCCCCCCAACCCCCCAGCAACCAUGGAUAUGUUUUUGGUUCCUUACAGUUAUACCUUUCCCAGUAUGUUAUAGAGAUGGGAUCAUGGGUAUGUUUUCCAUUCCCUACGGUCUUACCAUCCCAGGAUGCCAUGUAAAUGGGAUCAUCUGCUGUAGACCUGCUGGGCAUUGACUUCUUUCACUCAGGAUAAUGCCUUUGAAAUUCAUCGUGUUGCACUUCUCUGUAGUUUGUUCCUGUUUAUGGCAGAGUAGUAUUCCACUGUAUGAUGCAUCACAGUUUAUUCAUUCAUUCACCAGGUGAAGGCUAUUUGGGCAGCUUCCAGUUUUUGGUAAUUAGGAGAAAAGUCACUUUAAACAUUGGUGUACAGGUUUUUGUGUGAAACUAAGUUUUCACUUCUCUUGGGUAAAUAUCUGAGCGUGAGAUUGCUGGCUCAUAGGUUUCACUGCAAAACUCUUUUCCGGAGUGGCUGUGCCCGUUUGCAUCCCCACCAAUGAUGGGGGAGAGUUCCUGUCGCUCUGCAUUCUCACCAGCAGUUGGUGGCGUCAGGUUUGUUAUUUUUAAUUUUAGUUAUUCCAAUAUGGUAUGUUAUUGUGGUUUUAAAUUAAAUUUUCCUAAUGACUGAUCAUGUUGACCAUCUUUUCAUGUGCUUAUUUGCUAUCCAUGUAUCUUUUUUGGUGAAG